Molecule: long non-coding RNA, 2866 nt
Filed under: Cyanistes caeruleus (blue tit)
Lineage: Eukaryota; Metazoa; Chordata; Aves; Passeriformes; Paridae
Description: lncRNA (ENSCCEG00000022366.1)
Source: RNAcentral
CGCCUCCCGCUGCUCCGGAUCCUCCCCCUGCUCCUCCUCCUGCUCCUCCUCCUCUCCUUUUCCUCCUCUUCCACCGUCUCUCCUCUGCUUUCUUCUCGUCUUCUUCCUCCUUCUUUUCCUUUGUCCUUUCCCCUCUUCUCUUCCCUGCCCCUUUCCCCUUUUCUUUCCCCCUUCCCAUUUCUCCUUCCCCUCCCCUUUCUCCUUUCUCCAUUGCCCUUCCCUUUCUUCCUUUUCUUCCCCAUUUCCCUUCUUCCCUCUUCUCCUUUUCCUUAUCCUUUCCCAUUCCCUUUCCUCACUCUUCUCCUUUUCUUUAUCCCUUCCCAUUCUCCUUCCUUUCCUUCCUCCUUCCCCUUUCUUUCCCCUUUCACCUUCUUCCCCAUCUUCCUUUACGCGUUCCCCUUCUUCUUUACAUCCGUACUCCUUCUCCUUCCCCAUUCUAUUUCUCUUUCCCUUUUCCCCUUCUCCUUUCCCUUCUCCCUCCCUUCCUAUUUCCCCUUUCUCUCCAUCCCCAUCUCACCCCCACUUCAGUUUUCCCUGCUGAGGAAGCCGCCAGGCCAAGGAAAGAGCUUCCCCUCCCCAUCCUUAGCACAAACCCAAAAUCUUCACUUCUUACACAAUUUGGGCGUUGUUACCAGAGGUUCACAGUGGGAUUUUGGAUCAGGGGCUCCCUCAGGAGCCAUAUCCACACUGAACUUCCACCAGCAGCCCAAAAUCCCAACCUCAGCCUUCCCAGCACGCGGAUCCCAUCCCCAAACCAGCAGGUCCAGCUGUUCUGCAGAUUCCCAGAUCCUGUGGGAGCUCUGCCUGGCCACACAGUGGAAGUGGGGAACACAGGGAACGUCCUUGAGCUCCCUCUGCUUUAAGUUUCAAAGCGCUUGGAUAGACAGGAAUGGUUUUUGAGGAGGUUUCAGCUGCUGAGGAAGCCCAAACCCCUCCUCUGGAGCCAGAGGCACACCCUGAUGCUGUUUGCAGCUCACGCCAAGCGAGGCACAGCUCUCCGGGACAGCUCCGGACAGAGCAGAACAGGGAUGUCCUGCUUUGGAAAACUCCUCGCAGAGCAAAAUUUCCCCGUUUGCCGGUGUUUUCCUGAGAGUGUAAAGCUCAGAGCCGAGGACACGGGCGACCUGGUGACCCCCGGCUCCCCCAGGAUCACCAUAUCGAUGCCGGCCUUAGCUUGGACGCCCGCUCGGCACAGCCCCCUGCAGCCCAGAACCCCCGGGCUCAGCGAUCCGCCAGCCUCAGCCUCCCCGGAGCUUGGAUUACAGGCACAAGCCACCGUGCCCGGCUGCUCCUCGGGGCUGUCUCCGCUCCCCAUCACCCCGGCACCGGCCUCGGGAACUCCUCAGCGCUGCAGCAGCACGGUGGGAGGAGCAGCAGGCGCAGGAAGGAAAAUCGAGCUCUUCGACCACAAAGGUCCUUGAAGGAUCAGUGCAACAGAGCCUUUCCCAUCUCUGUCAAGAGGAAGCAAGGAAAGAUGAGCUGCACCACAUCCAAACAGGUUUGGCCUGAUGGUCCAAAGAGAUUGGAAUUUGAUUUCUGUUCAAAGAGAUAAAAAUUCUCUGAUUGAUGAGCAUCAGUUUCCUCAAGGUUUGGCUAAUUUGGUGCUUCAUGUUGCUGUGGCAGCACCUGGACCUCUGGUGGGGGGCAUGGAAACACGGCUGUAGAAAUCCAUGGAAAAUGAAAAAUUCAAACCUUGGUACCUGCACCGCCCAUAAGGGGAUUCUUUAUGGAUAAGGAAAGAUGAGGAAGGAUGAGGAGCAGCCAGACCCAGCUGAGUUACCACAAGGUCCCACAAAGGUAUUUGCUGCCCUUUUCCCAGGCUGUAACCCUUAAUCACUUUAUAACCAUAAUUUACUCUCCAGGCUGUAAAUCCCCAGCAGGUACAUGGGACACCCACCCACUGACACACGUCAGCCACUGCUCGCUUUUCAAACAUUUACCUCACUUUUAAAACAUUUAACUUACUUUUAAAACAUUAAACUCGCUUUUAAAAUAUUUAACUCGCUUUUAAAAUAUUUAACUCCUGCAGGCUACCCAGUAACUCACAGGGGAUUGCCAAGGACCUGAGGAGGGUUUUAAUUCUCAGGCAGGUGGGUGAAACUGAGCCACUCCUAAGAACUCACACUUUUCAGGUAAUUUAGAACAUAUUUGGGUAUUCUAAGUAUUUUUGGGGGGAGUAUUUUACCUUGAAAAUCAAUCAGCAGUGUAAGACUGAGCUAGAUGGAGUAGAUAGUGCCCAGAGGGAUUUAUAUCCAUCCUGAAAUGAAGAACCUGCUUUGCUCAGACCAUCACACUUCGUCUGUGCUGACACAUUUCCAUCCCAACGUCACUCUCUUAAAAAUAAGAACCUGUCUUUCCAAACAAAUCCCUGUUUUAAAGGCUGUGGCAGGUCCUGGCUCUCCCAGGUGAGCUGCAGUGGCUCUGCAGGGACACAGCAGUGGGAUCCCUCAGGCAGCAAAGCCCUUUUUUUUGGCUUUACUGAAGUUAUUUCCAUUUGCUUCCUGUUUACCCUCCUUCCUGUGCACUUACGGAAACCAACAGGACUCUCCACUAAAAUGUUCCAAAAGUAGGUGGUGCUCUCUCUCCAGCUUCUCCUCCAUUCCCUGUGGGAUUGGGGAACGUGAGCUGCAGGGAUUGACAUGCACAGAGUUUAUUAGUGACUAAUUUGAGAUCUUAACUACCCAAAGUGCUGAGUGCUCCAAUGUCUUGUUGCUAUCUAUCCUCCUAAAGAGCAGGAAUAAUUCCUUUAAAAGCACUGCCAGGCCAUGGCAAAUCUUCCCCUGGUGCACAGGCUGUGAGGCUGGGAAGUUUUCCUGAAGGGGAGGGAGGAUCCUUGGGAAUAAAUCCCAGCACAAGUGGAAAAGCA